GAUGAACGCUAGCGGCAGGCUUAACACAUGCAAGUCGAGGGGCAGCGCGAGUAGCAAUACUUGGCGGCGACCGGCGCAAGGGUGCGUAACGCGUGAGCAACAUGCCCGUAUCAGGGGGAUAAUCCAGGGAAACUUGGUCUAAUACCCCAUAGUAAUUUCGUAAGGCAUCUUAUGGGAUUUAAAGCUUUGGUGGAUACGGAUUGGCUCGCGUGACAUUAGCUGGAUGGUAAGGUAACGGCUUACCAUGGCAAUGAUGUCUAGGGGUUCUGAGAGGAAGGUCCCCCACACUGGAACUGAGACACGGUCCAGACUCCUACGGGAGGCAGCAGUGAGGAAUAUUGGACAAUGGAUGGAAAUCUGAUCCAGCCAUGCCGCGUGAAGGAAGAAUGUCCUAUGGAUUGUAAACUUCUUUUGUAUGGGAGCAAUAAGGUAUUCGUGAAUACUGAUGAGAGUACCAUACGAAUAAGCAUCGGCUAACUCCGUGCCAGCAGCCGCGGUAAUACGGAGGAUGCGAGCGUUAUCCGGAUUUAUUGGGUUUAAAGGGUGCGUAGGCGGUUUGAUAAGUCAGCGGUGAAAUAUUUCAGCUUAACUGGAAGGGUGCCGUUGAUACUGUCGAGCUUGAAUUUAGUUGCUGUGGGUGGAAUGUGUGGUGUAGCGGUGAAAUGCAUAGAUAUCACACAGAAUAUCGAUUGCGAAGGCAGCUCACAAAGCUAAUAUUGACGCUGAUGCACGAAGGUGUGGGGAUCAA
This 748-nucleotide ribosomal RNA is filed under the name bacterium enrichment culture clone B1-37. Its description in RNAcentral is "bacterial SSU rRNA". It matches the Rfam family "Bacterial small subunit ribosomal RNA", at positions 28 to 771 of the family's 1533-position model. The record is from RNAcentral.